GACGAACGCUGGCGGCGUGCUUAACACAUGCAAGUCGAACGGAAAGGCCCUGCCUUUGUGGGGUGCUCGAGUGGCGAACGGGUGAGUAACACGUGAGUAACCUGCCCUUGACUUUGGGAUAACUUCAGGAAACUGGGGCUAAUACCGGAUAGGAGCUCCUGCUGCAUGGUGGGGGUUGGAAAGUUUCGGCGGUUGGGGAUGGACUCGCGGCUUAUCAGCUUGUUGGUGGGGUAGUGGCUUACCAAGGCUUUGACGGGUAGCUGGCCUGAGAGGGUGACCGGCCACAUUGGGACUGAGAUACGGCCCAGACUCCUACGGGAGGCAGCAGUGGGGAAUAUUGCACAAUGGGCGGAAGCCUGAUGCAGCAACGCCGCGUGCGGGAUGACGGCCUUCGGGUUGUAAACCGCUUUCGCCUGUGACGAAGCGUGAGUGACGGUAAUGGGUAAAGAAGCACCGGCUAACUACGUG
RNAcentral lists this ribosomal RNA (468 nucleotides) under uncultured bacterium. RNAcentral's name for it is "partial 16S ribosomal RNA". It matches the Rfam family "Bacterial small subunit ribosomal RNA", at positions 28 to 507 of the family's 1533-position model. The record is from RNAcentral.